Molecule: ribosomal RNA, 392 nt
Filed under: uncultured bacterium
Lineage: Bacteria
Description: bacterial SSU rRNA
Rfam family: Bacterial small subunit ribosomal RNA
Source: RNAcentral
AGAGUUUGAUCCUGGCUCAGAACGAACGCUGGCGGCAGGCUUAACACAUGCAAGUCGAGCGAACUGAUGGACUUCGGUCCUGAAGUUAGCGGCGGACGGGUGAGUAACGCGUGGGAACGUGCCCUUGGGUAAGGAACAACCGUUGGAAACGACGGCUAAUACCUUAUGAUGUCUUUCGGGACCAAAGAUUUAUCGCCCAGGGAUCGGCCCGCGUUGGAUUAGGUAGUUGGUGGGGUAAUGGCCUACCAAGCCUACGAGCCAUAGCUGGUUUGAGAGGAUGAUCAGCCACACUGGGACUGAGACACGGCCCAGACUCCUACGGGAGGCAGCAGUGGGGAAUCUUGGACAAUGGGGGCAACCCUGAUCCAGCCAUGCCGCGUGAACGAUGAAGG